GAUGAACGCUGGCGGCGUGCCUAAUACAUGCAAGUCGAGCGAACAGAUGAGGAGCUUGCUCCUCUGACGUUAGCGGCGGACGGGUGAGUAACACGUGGAUAACCUACCUAUAAGACUGGUAUAACUACGGGAAACCGGAUCUAAUACCGGAUAAUAUAUUGAACCGCAUGGUUCAAUAGUGAAAGACGGUUUUGCUGUCACUUAUAGAUGGAUCCGCGCCGCAUUAGCUAGUUGGUAAGGUAACGGCUUACCAAGGCAACGAUGCGUAGCCGACCUGAGAGGGUGAUCGGCAACCCUGGAAAUGAGAAACGGCCCAGACUCCUACGGGAGGAAGAAGUAGGGAAUCUUCCGAAAUGGGCGAAAGCCUAACGGAGCAACGCCGCGUGAGUGAUGAAGGUCUUCGGAUCGUAAAACUCUGUUAUUAGGGAAGAACAAAUGUGUAAGUAAAUAUGCACGUCUUGACGGUACCUAAUCAGAAAGCCACGGCUAACUACGUG
Molecule: ribosomal RNA, 497 nt
Filed under: uncultured bacterium
Lineage: Bacteria
Description: partial 16S ribosomal RNA
Rfam family: Bacterial small subunit ribosomal RNA
Source: RNAcentral